Molecule: ribosomal RNA, 301 nt
Filed under: uncultured fungus
Lineage: Eukaryota; Fungi
Description: eukaryotic LSU rRNA
Rfam family: 5.8S ribosomal RNA (bases 1-52)
Source: RNAcentral
AACGCACCUUGCGCUCCUUGGUAUUCCGAGGAGCAUGCCUGUUUGAGUGUCAUUAAAUUCUCAACCUCUCCAGCUUUUUGGCUGGGUGAGGAUUGGAUGUGGGGGUGUGCUGGCUUCCUUAAAAGAGGUCGGCUCCCCUUAAAUGCAUUAGCGGGAACGUCUUGCGGACCGUCACUUGGUGUGAUAAUUAUCUACGCCGUGGACUAUUUGCCGUUUUUAGCACUGCUUAUAAUCGUCUGUUCAUUCGGACAAUAUAUGACAAUUUGACCUCAAAUCAGGUAGGACUACCCGCUGAACUUAA